AUGAAUACAAGAAUGGUAAUAAGUAGGUCCCAGCUCUUGGUGUCCGAUCAGCAAACCACGAUCGCCAUGUGGAAUUUACAGCUCACCCAUCUGCACAAGAUUAUUUCUCGUCAUAUUAUUCGUGAAGAUUAUGAACAUUAUCUCGUCCGAUCUCUCCCCACCCCAGAGAGGGUCCGGAGGCGCGCAUCACACAUCGGACGACCUGUACUUGUACACGUGGAAGCUCGCCUGCGGCGCCACAGCGGCCAGGAAGACCCUGGCCGUCGCCUCCUGCGCCGCCACCGCCCCAUCCUUCUCUACCAGCGCCGCCGCCACCACAUCGCCAGCGGAGCCGCCUCCGGCGGCAAUCAUCGCAAUGAUGGCCGUCUGCACGGGACCCAGCGUCGGGUUGUACGCCGCGGACUCCAAGCAGCCCCCGGCGUACACCUUCCCUUCGCCGUCCGCCACCGCGAAGCCCGACGGGCAGCCGCUGUACGGCGCGUGCGCCGCACGCGCCGCCGCCUCCGCGGCAUCCUUCAGGCGCCCCUCCAGGUCGUCGGCGGCGAAGCCAUUGGCGACGGCGUCAACGGGAUCGCCGAGGCGGUUGUCGUGCGGCUCGAGGACGAGGGGGGCGUCCUUGGGGAGGAGGUCGUGGGGACCGAAUGGGCGGGGCAGGAGCGAUGCCAGCGUGCGCCACUCAGCCGCGCAGCCGUCAGCGGCGUCGGACGUCACCAGGAUGCGGAUCCCGGCGGCGCCGCGGAUCUCCUGGAGGAACUGCCGGCAGUGGCCGCAGGGCAUGUGGGAGACGGCGAUGGCGCGGAGCGCGGGCUCCCCGGCGGCGGCGGCGUUGGCGAUGAGGAACUGCUCGGCGUGGACCACCUGGGAGAGAGGGGCGCCCAGGAACUCGAGGUUCACGCCGGCGUAAACGCGCCCGCUCUCGCCCAGCCCGACGGCGCCCACGGGGAACCGCGAGAUCGGGGGGCGCGCGCGCCGCAUCGCCGAAGGGAUCAGCAGGGGAAGCAGGUCCUCCACCGUCUCCACCCCGGCCGCCGCGGCCGCGCGCUCCGCCUCGUCGGCGCUCAUCACAAAUCCUGGCAGCUCGACGGCCUCAGGCUUCGCCGUCAUCCUCUCCUCCCCCAUUGCUCAGAUCUAACUCGAAACUGUGUUGUCACUCUAUGA
Molecule: ribosomal RNA, 1158 nt
Filed under: Triticum aestivum (bread wheat)
Lineage: Eukaryota; Viridiplantae; Streptophyta; Magnoliopsida; Poales; Poaceae
Description: partial small subunit ribosomal RNA
Source: RNAcentral